CCACGUGGAAGGAAAACUGAGGAUCGAAGACAGCACAGCAUACCUUACCAAUGGUGGCGAUGGCAUCUAAGUAUUCAUCUGAUAACUCUCACAGAUAACAUUGACUGUCACCAACCAAAGCCAUUCCAAUUUGGCAAUGGCUGCAACUCUCUCUUCACUCUCCUUCUUAGACCCUCAAAUUCAAAACCUCUCUUUCCAAUUCCACCAACCACGCUCCUUCACAACGCGCCCCUUCCACUUCAACAAAACCCCACUCUCCACUUUCAAACUCUCUUCUUCUCAUUCCCAUUCACCUGACCCCUUCUACACGGGUCGCUUCCUCACCGACAAUGAACACCGCAACCUCAACUUCCUCGAAACCUUCCUCUACUCCCACCAACUCCAAUCGGGUUCCAUGUGGGUCCGGGUCAUGAGGCCCCACGAGAUCGACCUCACCGUCCGGUUACUAGCCGAUUCCUUCGCCGAAUCCAUGCUCUUGCCCGCAGCCUACCUCAACGUGUUAAGGUUCCUUGUGAAACAGUACUUGGUGGAGCGAAGGACGUUGAUGCCACACAUGGCAACGCUCGUUGGUUUCUACAAAGAAGAAGAAGAAGAAGUGCAACUAGCAGGGACUGUGGAGGUUUGUUUUGACAAAAGGGGUGCCAAUGUUUCUCUCCCUUCACCCACCCCUCCUUUGGAUUCGCCCUACAUUUGUAACAUGGCCGUGCUAAAGUCUCUCAGAAGGAGGGGCAUUGGCUGGCAUCUUCUAAAGGCAAGUGAGGAAUUAAUUUCUCAGAUGAGUUCAUCAAGAGACGUAUACUUGCAUUGCAGAAUGAUCGACGCUGCUCCAUUUAACAUGUAUACAAAAGCGGAUUACAAAAUUGUGAAGACAGAUAGUAUACUAGUCCUGCUGAUGUUGCAGAGACGCAAGCACUUGAUGUGCAAGAAACUUCCUCUUUCAAGUACGCCUUCAGAAACAGAUCUGUCAGUUUCUGAUAUGUAAAAGACAACAUGAAUGUUAAGCAAUGGUAGCAAAGCUGCUCAUGUUGGUUUUUAGUUUGACUGGAGAAGGGAGUGUUAUCAGGCAUCCUUAUUUAUUUCUCUUAUCUGUAGGACAGUGACUGAUUGUGUUUCAGGUAAAUUACAAGAUACUGUUGUCGAAGUUAUCGAUUUACUUCUCUGGCUCUGACAGCCAAGUGAUUUAAAGGAUUGUAAAACUGGUAACUUGUUUUAAAAUACCGGUUUAGAUACAUGGGUUCUUUCUUGAAGAACCUAGGAAAAUGCUAGAGAUGCACAAAAAGUACAAAACAUAUUACUCUGUAUCCUGAAACAUAUGUCAUUCUUGAAAAUCGAACGCCUUGUAGCAAAUGGAAUCUGUUGAACCAUGCCUAUCAUGAGAGAACAAAAUAUCAAUGUUUGGAGAUUAGGGAACAUUUUCCAGGGAAGUGGUUUUUUUGUCAUGGUUUCUUAGGUUGGAUACUCCUGCCAUGUGACAGAAAGGGUGUGAGUAGCACCGGGGCACGAAUGUGGGUGGAGAAGAAAAAUAGAAAUGCUCUUGUAGCUUUGUCCAUAAUGGAUUGAUUUCCUCAUCUCGCAAGAUCAUCCAAAUUAAAAUGCUUUGCACUGGUCAUAUUAUUCUGCUUGGUGUAUAAAUAUGAAUGGAAGAACUUCUGAAUGAGUCCACAGUUUUAUUGUCAAUAAGAAAUCAUUAUAAUUCCGGUGUCUAAACUUGUGAUUUCACUAGAUCAUUCUCAAACUAUGCAUAACCAUUCCCAAGCCUUUUGAAUUUGUAUAGAUAAUCAUUAGGAGUUCUUUUAUACAUUCUGCCAUUGAUGGUCUCUCAUUACUAUCUGUUCGGACACAUCUUGAUGCUAGAUUGGCAAACAUGACUACAGACUGAAGGGUGUAAGAAUUUCGAGCCAUAUCUGGAUCUAUCACCUUACGAAGCUUCUUGCGGUCAUUCAAUAUGUGCCUCACCUGCAUAUGAAUGUCAAAUGAAUUAAAGUUGUGCUGUUGUAUGAAUGUAACAUUCUGGAACCUGGGAACCAAAAUCUUUUGCAGUGUCUGUGUUGUUGAGAGGGGGCAGGGGGAUUUCAAGUGAAAUUACUAUUUAUCCUACAUGGAUUGUAAAUCUUAGAAGUUUUUAAAAUUCAUGUGAUCACCUAAAGAAGUCAUAUGACUAUUUUUUAUUUCAUUCAUGAAUGCAUGAUGCAAUGCUUAGGAUUUGUUCUUCCCACUCUUACAAUAAGUCACUUCUCUCUCUUGAUAUACUCCCUUAUAAAAGAAAAACUACCAUCAAGGAUGUCUUGAAAAAGAGAUGACUUGAAAGAUAUAAAAGAAAAUUGCUGAUUACUAGUAAGUAGUAACUGAAUGUCCAAUUAUUUUUUAAUUUGAUAUUCUUACAGUUACAGAUCAAUGCCCUCUAUGUGUGUGUACAUUUCCUACCUGUAGUACAAGGUUUUGAUCGUUGGGACCCUGAUUUAGAUCUACAGCUCGGCGUCCAGUCAAAAGCUCCAGAAGAACAACACCAAAAGCAUAAACAUCACUUUGUAGAGUUCCCAUUACGCAUAUAUUCAUAUACUAGGAAUCUAUGCUUUCCAUCAGCACAGUAGCCUAUCAAAGACACGAGAUUUGGGUGAUCAAGUCUGCUCAAAAUGUCAACCUCGACACGGAAUUCACGUUCCCCCUCUGCUGCUUUAAUUGCUGGCAGCUCCAUUUUCUUGAUUGCUACUACCUUCAGAGGGAAUAACAUUAUAUUAGAAUGUAUUUAUUUGCAUCAAAAUCAGAAAAUUUGAGAAUAUUUUAAGAACCAUGGUUUACCAUGACAGUUGUUACAAAGUCUUGAUAAUUAUGAUGAAUUUCCAUGAGCU
This is an RNA transcript of Abrus precatorius (Indian licorice), 2849 nucleotides long. RefSeq lists it as uncharacterized. The transcript has 4 exons. The record is from RefSeq and is a predicted model, not a curated record. Lineage: Eukaryota; Viridiplantae; Streptophyta; Magnoliopsida; Fabales; Fabaceae.